UACGUAGGCAGCGAGCGUUGUUCGGAAUUACUGGGCGUAAAGGGCGCGUAGGUGGCCUGUUAAGUCGAACGUGAAAUCCCCGGGCUCAACCCGGGAACUGCGUCCGAGACUGGCAGGCUCGAAUCCGGGAGAGGGAUGUGGAAUUCCAGGUGUAGCGGUGAAAUGCGUAGAUAUCUGGAGGAACACCGGUGGCGAAGGCGGCAUCCUGGACCGGUAUUGACGCUGAGGCGCGAAAGCCAGGGGAGCAAACGGG
RNAcentral lists this ribosomal RNA (253 nucleotides) under uncultured bacterium. RNAcentral's name for it is "partial 16S ribosomal RNA". It matches the Rfam family "Bacterial small subunit ribosomal RNA", at positions 524 to 776 of the family's 1533-position model. The record is from RNAcentral.